UACGGGGGAUGCAAGUGUUAUCCGGAAUCACUGGGCGUAAAGCGUCUGUAGGUGGUCAAGUAAGUCAACUGUUAAAUCUUGAGGCUCAACCUCAAAAUCGCAGUCGAAACUAUUAGACUAGAGUAUAGUAGGGGUAAAGGGAAUUUCCAGUGGAGCGGUGAAAUGCGUAGAUAUUGGAAAGAACACCGAUGGCGAAGGCGCUUUACUGGGCUAUUACUAACACUCAGAGACGAAAGCUAGGGGAGCAAACAGG
RNAcentral lists this ribosomal RNA (253 nucleotides) under uncultured bacterium. Its description in RNAcentral is "partial 16S ribosomal RNA". It matches the Rfam family "Bacterial small subunit ribosomal RNA", at positions 524 to 776 of the family's 1533-position model. The record is from RNAcentral.